Molecule: ribosomal RNA, 291 nt
Filed under: uncultured bacterium
Lineage: Bacteria
Description: partial 16S ribosomal RNA
Rfam family: Bacterial small subunit ribosomal RNA
Source: RNAcentral
GGUGGUGUGCAUACGAGCGCACCCUCAUCAUUAGUUACUAACAGGUCAUGCUGAGGACUCUAGUGAGACUGCCAUCGUAAGAUGCGAGGAAGGUGGGGAUGACGUCAAAUCAGCACGGCCCUUACGUCCGGGGCGACACACGUGUUACAAUGGGUGGUACAAAGGGCAGCUACCUGGCGACGGGAUGCUAAUCUCCAAAACCACUCUCAGUUCGGAUCGGAGUCUGCAACUCGACUCCGUGAAGCUGGAUUCGCUAGUAAUCGCGCAUCAGCCACGGCGCGGUGAAUACGU